AUGUAGCGGGAGUGAGGAGGACAUUACCUAGAGUUGUAGGCUUUGCCUGCUAUCUCUUACCCAUGUCUUUUGAGUACCUUACGUUUCCUCGGUGGGUUCGCCCACCGAUUGGACAAAUUUAAACCCUUUGCAGUUGAAAUCAGCGUCUGAAAAAACUUAAUAGUUACAACUUUCAACAACGGAUCUCUUGGUUCUGGCAUCGAUGAAGAACGCAGCGAAAUGCGAUAAGUAGUGUGAAUUGCAGAAUUCAGUGAAUCAUCGAAUCUUUGAACGCACAUUGCGCCCCUUGGUAUUCCAUGGGGCAUGCCUGUUCGAGCGUCAUUUGUACCUUCAAGCUCUGCUUGGUGUUGGGUGUUUGUCUCCUGUAGACUCGCCUCAAAACAAUUGGCAGCCGGCGUAUUGAUUUCGGAGCGCAGUACAUCUCGCGCUUUGCACUCAUAACGACGACAUCCAAAAGUACAUUUUUACACUCUUGACCUCGGAUCAGGUAGGGAUACCCGCUGAACUUAAGCAUAUCAUAAGCCGGGAGGAA
This 532-nucleotide ribosomal RNA is filed under the name Curvularia kusanoi. RNAcentral's name for it is "eukaryotic LSU rRNA". The stretch from base 168 to 321 matches the Rfam family "5.8S ribosomal RNA". The record is from RNAcentral. Lineage: Eukaryota; Fungi; Ascomycota; Dothideomycetes; Pleosporales; Pleosporaceae.